RNAcentral lists this ribosomal RNA (429 nucleotides) under Acidobacteriota bacterium. RNAcentral describes it as "Acidobacteria bacterium partial 16S ribosomal RNA". It matches the Rfam family "Bacterial small subunit ribosomal RNA", at positions 355 to 776 of the family's 1533-position model. The record is from RNAcentral. Lineage: Bacteria; Pseudomonadati; Acidobacteriota.
UGGGGAAUUUUGGACAAUGGGGGAAACCCUGAUCCAGCCAUCCCGCGUGUGCGAUGAAGGCCUUCGGGUUGUAAAGCACUUUUGGCAGGAAAGAAACGUCAUGGGUUAAUACCCCGCGAAACUGACGGUACCUGCAGAAUAAGCACCGGCUAACUACGUGCCAGCAGCCGCGGUAAUACGUAGGGUGCAAGCGUUAAUCGGAAUUACUGGGCGUAAAGCGUGCGCAGGCGGUUCGGAAAGAAAGAUGUGAAAUCCCAGAGCUCAACUUUGGAACUGCAUUUUUAACUACCGGGCUAGAGUGUGUCAGAGGGAGGUGGAAUUCCGCGUGUAGCAGUGAAAUGCGUAGAUAUGCGGAGGAACACCGAUGGCGAAGGCAGCCUCCUGGGAUAACACUGACGCUCAUGCACGAAAGCGUGGGGAGCAAACAGG